Molecule: ribosomal RNA, 786 nt
Filed under: unidentified microorganism
Description: bacterial SSU rRNA
Rfam family: Bacterial small subunit ribosomal RNA
Source: RNAcentral
ACACAUGCAGUCGACGGUGAAAGAGAGCUUGCUCUCUGGAUCAGUGGCGAACGGGUGAGUAACACGUGAGCAAUCUGCCCCUGACUCUGGGAUAAGCGCUGGAAACGGCGUCUAAUACCGGAUACGAGCUGCGAAGGCAUCUUCAGCAGCUGGAAAGAAUUUCGGUCAGGGAUGAGCUCGCGGCCUAUCAGCUAGUUGGUGAGGUAAUGGCUCACCAAGGCGUCGACGGGUAGCCGGCCUGAGAGGGUGACCGGCCACACUGGGACUGAGACACGGCCCAGACUCCUACGGGAGGCAGCAGUGGGGAAUAUUGCACAAUGGGCGCAAGCCUGAUGCAGCAACGCCGCGUGAGGGACGACGGCCUUCGGGUUGUAAACCUCUUUUAGCAGGGAAGAAGCGAAAGUGACGGUACCUGCAGAAAAAGCGCCGGCUAACUACGUGCCAGCAGCCGCGGUAAUACGUAGGGCGCAAGCGUUAUCCGGAAUUAUUGGGCGUAAAGAGCUCGUAGGCGGUUUGUCGCGUCUGCUGUGAAAACCCGAGGCUCAACCUCGGGCCUGCAGUGGGUACGGGCAGACUAGAGUGCGGUAGGGGAGAUUGGAAUUCCUGGUGUAGCGGUGGAAUGCGCAGAUAUCAGGAGGAACACCGAUGGCGAAGGCAGAUCUCUGGGCCGUAACUGACGCUGAGGAGCGAAAGGGUGGGGAGCAAACAGGCUUAGAUACCCUGGUAGUCCACCCCGUAAACGUUGGGAACUAGUUGUGGGGUCCAUUCCACGGAUUCCGUGACGCA